Molecule: long non-coding RNA, 594 nt
Filed under: Homo sapiens (human)
Lineage: Eukaryota; Metazoa; Chordata; Mammalia; Primates; Hominidae
Description: HSALNT0323092
Source: RNAcentral
GCCCUUUACUAAACUGUACAAGAUCCAGCGAUAUUCUAGGCUUGAUCCCUGUGGGACACCUUUCCCUACACCAUGUCCGGGAGCCAUAAUUCCAGGGAGUUUGUAACCCUCUAGAGCGGGCCUCUGUUGCUGUUUCUUAGCAACAGACGAACUGGAAAAUGACCAGUACAAAAUGCACAGACUUUAACUACUCUACCUCCAGCUUACAUUCUACCAGGCCCUUAGUCCCACAGACAGGAACCAAAGCCAGCAGAACAAAGCAGCCCCAGAUGUGUUCUACUCUAUUAUCUGAAGUAAAUGAAAAUCAACCCUGAGGAAUGUGUAGACGGAAGCAGUUCAUCCUGGGAGGUGAGAAUGAGCAUUGAAAGAGCCAUCCGUGAAACCGUAAGGCUGGGAAAGAGAAGUGAAGGGGCACAUGGAAGUGUUCAUCUCUGGGGCAGGGAAAAACAAUCCGGAGAAGAUGAGUCACACCUCAUUUGUAACCCAUGAAUGAAAAUCAAUACUGUUACUUAUCAUAAAUUACACUGAACAUAGUGCUUACACUUGAGUAUCAAUGCAGUAAAACCACUAUGAGCCAAUUGAUUGACUUUUCUA